AAAACAGUGUAAUAAUAAAAAAAUUAAAUCUUUCGAAUAUCGAACUAAACAUAAAUUUGAAACAAUUUUUUCUUUUUAAUAAUCUCAUAAAAUAACACGAAGAAAAUUUGCAAUUUUCCAAGACGAUGGGAGACGGCGAGGGGAGGAUUUGUUCGUUGAAUUCGAGCCAAAACUCACGGAAUCGAGUCUGGAAGAUGUUGGAUGCAUGUUGGAUUUGUUUUUGUAACAAUACAUUUGAAAAUGCACUGCAAAAUGUAUUUUAAUUGAUUGAAUUAUAAAGAGCAGUGUCAGUUUUAACAAUCUAUCACUGGAUCAUUUAAAUAUAUAAUUUCUGUAAAUUUAACAAGCAAAGAGAGAAAAGAAAAAAGUCAAGUUUAACAAUUUAUUCCAUUUUAUUUUAAAAGUUCACUAAUAUAGGUUAGAUUAGAUUAGACUGUUUGCCUCCAAGAAUAACUAUAUUAAAUUGUACUGUAUACAAGAGCAAAGUGAGAAGAAAUAAGCAGGAAGUUAUUCAAAUUACUAUCGCUGCACGAAGCUAUCGAAUGUCCCCCUCGUAUUACGCCCCACCACUCCUGCAUACGUAUCGGAAAUCGGUUCAGAAAAAUAUUCGUACAGUCACGGUUCGUAGAGAAAUGGUCCAAAUACCUAGUUUAUAUCCUGGUGACCCGGUUGACCAUUUACGCACGACUGCAUACGAAGAAUAUUAAUUACGCGUCAACGACUCACCAAGUGUUCCGCAUUGACGUUGCGGAAGUAGGUCCGCCACGCGUUAAAUGCCACGAAGCAUCUUCGCAACGGCGACACGAAUAAUUUGGCGUGAUAAUUGUCUGGCUAAACAGCCGCGAAUGCGGCUAGGAAACGUGGGGCAAAAAACUGUCUGCGGAAUACCGAAUGUACCGUUUAUGAGAACGGAACAAAAUGUACGCGAUAAUAGGAACGAGAUGCGUAUAUAUAUGUGUGUAUAUAUACAUACCGAGGAUUUGAAAGAGAAUUGAUGGUAUUUGAAGAAACAUUUAAUUGCAUGACUUAGCGGAAACGUUGGAAAAUGAAACUGUGCGAAAAUUUGCUCGCCUCGCGCGUGUCUAAUUUCUUCUCUCUAAUCCCCCGACGGGAUCGACGGCGCCGUUGAUUGAUUAACGAGUAAUUUGGAUGGCGAUUGAACACGAAGACGAUAACGGAAUCGAAGUUAUAGAUUGUGGAUUAGUGAGAAGCGAUGUACGAGUUUUUAUUGCUCUUUUUGUUUUCAAAAUAAAAACCAAUAACAUAACAACUAAGUAAGUAGCUCACUCAAAUAUUAUUGCCUUGGGUCGAAACCUCUAUUCAUUUUCCUUAAUUUUAUGCCAUACCAGAGAUUACCAGAGACAAAUCUAUCUCCAGUUCUACAACCAUCAAAGGAGUAAAUAAAUUAUUAUGAUAUUAAUUUUUUAUGUUUUAUUUACGAGAGCUUGGAAUGAAAUGGCAUGACUUGAAUCUUAGCCAAAGGAAUUUUUCUUUUCUACCAGAAAGAAAUACAAUCAUGAAUGUAAUUCUUUGAGGAAAGAAAGAAGUUUAAGUAAUAAUUUGAGAUACAUCUUUAAAACGUUAAAUAUCCAACUUGAAAAAUAACAAACGUCAUAAAUCCAAACUCAUAACAAACUCUAUCAUUCUCGAGCUCAAAUUACUACGGUGGACGCGACAUUAAAAUGUUCAUCGCCCGAUCGACUCGUUUAUCUUAAGGCGUAUCCUCAACCGCAACGUUAGUUUUCCAACUUGAAG
Molecule: long non-coding RNA, 1755 nt
Filed under: Apis mellifera (honey bee)
Lineage: Eukaryota; Metazoa; Arthropoda; Insecta; Hymenoptera; Apidae
Description: uncharacterized LOC100578544
Source: RNAcentral